This 75-nucleotide transfer RNA is filed under the name Clostridium sp. CAG:715. RNAcentral's name for it is "transfer RNA-Gly(GCC)". It matches the Rfam family "tRNA". From Rfam's summary of the family: Transfer RNA (tRNA) molecules are approximately 80 nucleotides in length. Lineage: Bacteria; Bacillati; Bacillota; Clostridia; Eubacteriales; Clostridiaceae. The record is from RNAcentral. RNAcentral also lists the same sequence under 7 other names.
GCGGGGGUAAUUCAGUGGUAGAAUGCUUCCUUGCCAAGGAAGAUGUCGCGAGUUCGAGCCUCGUCUCCCGCUCCA